GUUGUCGUGGCCGAGUGGUUUAGGCAAUAGACUAGAAAUAUUUUCGGAUCUUCCUGCGCAGGUUCGAAUCCUGUCGACAACA
Molecule: transfer RNA, 82 nt
Filed under: Dreissena polymorpha
Lineage: Eukaryota; Metazoa; Mollusca; Bivalvia; Myida; Dreissenidae
Rfam family: tRNA
About the family: Transfer RNA (tRNA) molecules are approximately 80 nucleotides in length. Their secondary structure includes four short double-helical elements and three loops (D, anti-codon, and T loops). Further hydrogen bonds mediate the characteristic L-shaped molecular structure. tRNAs have two regions of fundamental functional importance: the anti-codon, which is responsible for specific mRNA codon recognition, and the 3' end, to which the tRNAs corresponding amino acid is attached (by aminoacyl-tRNA synthetases). tRNAs cope with the degeneracy of the genetic code in two manners: having more than one tRNA (with a specific anti-codon) for a particular amino acid; and 'wobble' base-pairing, i.e. permitting non-standard base-pairing at the 3rd anti-codon position.
Source: Rfam by way of RNAcentral